Oreochromis aureus is the source of this 871-nucleotide long non-coding RNA. RefSeq lists it as uncharacterized. The transcript has 5 exons. The record is from RefSeq and is a predicted model, not a curated record. NCBI's taxonomy places the organism in Eukaryota, Metazoa, Chordata, Actinopteri, Cichliformes, Cichlidae.
UGUUGUUGACAUCUUUGGCAGUCUGUUUUUCCACCUUGCUGUAUUUUACCUUAUGCUUUUCUGUUUUAGAAGACUUUUCCCCUAUUAUUUUUUUAUUAACUUGUACUUUCGUUGACAUUAUUUUUGGUGUUGUGCUCUAUCACUUGUUUUUUGUGCCUCUGCUGUAUUCGCUCCUCGCCACUUUCUGUCUCGCUUCGCUCUGUCUCUGUUUCACUGCUGGUGUUUUUCAGAAAAAUAACAAGGUCUGGGGCUGUGCGUGUGCAUGUGUUUUGCACUGGCUGCAUAGGCUGGAUGCUCUGGCUGCACUGGGCUGGCUUCUUGUGUGGUCCCCCGGCAAACUUUAUGAUUUAUUCAGCUAAAGGCAGAGGAGCACGACCCCCAGUGACCACAGAGAGAGAGCUGCACGGAUUACGGGGAAAGGAGAAGACAGACAGAAAUCUACAUUUAACUGGUUCCUGGUAAUGAACAUCUGAAGUCCUCAGUGCCCUCAACCAUUUUGUUUCAACUGGAUUCCACCAAGGCAAAACAAACCAUGCACCACAGCUAAGCUGUUUUCAAUCACUUCAAUAGGAGGAGCUCCAUCACAAAACCAAUUACAAGGAUCAAACUUGAAGGAAAUCAGUCAAAACUCAAAGCCAAAAAUCAAGAUUUUUGCUGUGAAAAAGAUGUUUCUGAUCUGGCACAGAUCAGCAUGAAGAUACUGUGGAAAAGACUGUCUCCCAGUUGAGUCCGCGUGAAACAGAGAGUGAAACCGUAUCAAACCAGUCAUCAUUACAAGCCCAUUCCAAAACCCCAGGAGGGAUUACACAACGGUCAGUGCGUAGUGGGUGUGACACAGGCUUCUCCGUCAACCCCAGUGCUCACAGUGAGU